Drosophila pseudoobscura is the source of this 1053-nucleotide long non-coding RNA. RefSeq lists it as uncharacterized. NCBI's taxonomy places the organism in Eukaryota, Metazoa, Arthropoda, Insecta, Diptera, Drosophilidae. The transcript has 2 exons. The record is from RefSeq and is a predicted model, not a curated record.
CGCGCGCCCCCAUUCAGCUAUCGGCGGAAGGUCGUCGGUGCAUCCCCGCGAUAAUUAUCGAUCAAUCUGAGCGAUGCAAGCCCUUCGCCUAAGAUAUUUAACACGGAUAUAAACGAUCAAAGCAAGGCCUUCUCAUCGUACAUUUUCUAAUAUGUUGGCCCUUGAUUUUUCUCUGACUUUUGGCCGAUCAAGUAGGCCGGGCACUGGGCGAAAACUGUCGAGAUAUCAGAUCUAUUGGGAUACAGUCAGUCCUUGCUCACAGUUGCUCGAGGCAACAGCAUUUCAAAAUUUACAAAUUAUUCAAAUUCCAAAAAAAUAUGCUGGAUUGUUACCCCUUUUGUGCACUGUCUGUGUCUGCUGAAUGAUUCUGUCUGCUGUUCAAAGGCUGCCACCUUUCUCCGAGGCGUCGUCCAGAAUCUAAACAUCCUUGACCGCUACAUCCUGGAACCAGCUUUCGUGCAUCUGGGUCAACGCAACAUUCUCCAGCCAGCCAAGGAUUAAGCACCCCCUCUCUAAGAGCUGAUACUAGAAGCUGCAAUCCAUGAAGGCCUUGCUCGAUCCGGGAAUCGUAGUGCAGUAAGUGCAAAAUUCUUUACCAGUUGCUCGACCAUAGGCGAUCGUAGGCGGCAAUGACGACAAAGUUGUAUGAAAUCCACACGGAUCCGAUCUAGUGCCAUGGAAACCCAAAAGGCAUGCGAAACAUUUGUGUAGAUCUCAUAGAACUUGGUCUUCAUUGGCGCCUAUGACUGCUUAUGAACCGGGAACUGGAUGGAGUUUUCAGUGGGUGCACUCGAACAUCCCCCCUCCAGUCCACGGCGUCGUGGGAUAUUCCCACCGUAAGAUCGCUGAUCUGCUCCGACAAGCUCCGUCUCGUUCUCGACGAAGUACAAUUGGCCGUACUGGACUCAGCGGUGGAUGGUUAAAGGCUUCGCACAUGCGUCGGGAUGUCGUCCUUGGGGCAGUACACUCCCAGCGGUAACAUCCGCUUUAAGUUCGAGCUCCCAAUUUUCAAAGAUCGUUGAAUAAAUGCAUCGAAAGAUGCUCCACAGCUUA